CCUACGGGAGGCAGCAGUGAGGAAUAUUGGUCCAUGGGCGCGAGCCUGAACCAGCCAAGUCGCGUGAGGGAAGACGGCCCUACGGGUUGUAAACCUCUUUUGCAGGGGAGCAACGGGCGUCACGUGUGGCGCCACUGAGAGUACCCGGAGAAAAAGAAUCGGCUAACUCGGUGCCAGAAGACGCGGUAAAACGGAGGAUGCGAGCGUCAUCCGGAUUGAUUGGGUUUAAAGGUUGCGUAGGCGGACCGUUAAGUCAGUGUUCAAGUUGAGGGGCUCAACCCCUUCUUGCCAUGGAAACUGGCGCUCUUGAGUGGAAGAGAAGUAUGCGGAAUGCGUGGUGUAGCGGGGAAAUGCAUAGAUAUCACGCAGAACCCCGAUUGCGAAGGCAGCAUGCCGGCUUCCGACUGACGCUGAAGCACGAAAGCGUGGGGAUCGAACAGGAUUAGAUACCCUAGUAGUC
Molecule: ribosomal RNA, 460 nt
Filed under: uncultured bacterium
Lineage: Bacteria
Description: partial 16S ribosomal RNA
Rfam family: Bacterial small subunit ribosomal RNA
Source: RNAcentral